Molecule: ribosomal RNA, 301 nt
Filed under: uncultured bacterium
Lineage: Bacteria
Description: partial 16S ribosomal RNA
Rfam family: Bacterial small subunit ribosomal RNA
Source: RNAcentral
CAGCAGCCGCGGUAAUACGUAGGGGGCAAGCGUUAUCCGGAAUUAUUGGGCGUAAAGAGUGCGUAGGUGGACUACCAAGCGCGAGGUGAAAGGCAAUGGCUCAACCAUCGUUAGCCUUGCGAACUGGCAGACUUGAGUGCAAGAGAGGAAAGCGGAAUUCCUAGUGUAGCGGUGAAAUGCGCAGAUAUUAGGAGGAACACCGGCGGCGAAGGCGGCUUUCUGGAUUGUAACUGACACUGAGGCACGAAAGCGUGGGUAGCAAACAGGAUUAGAUACCCCCGUAGUCCCUGUCUCUUAUACA